AGCUUUGCACAGUGGCAGUAUUGUAGCCAAUGAGGUUUAUCUGAGGUGCGAUUAUUGCUAAUUGCAGAA
RNAcentral lists this small nuclear RNA (69 nucleotides) under Canis lupus familiaris (dog). Its description in RNAcentral is "U4 spliceosomal RNA". It matches the Rfam family "U4 spliceosomal RNA", at positions 1 to 69 of the family's 138-position model. From Rfam's summary of the family: U4 small nuclear RNA (U4 snRNA) is a component of the major U2-dependent spliceosome. RNAcentral also lists the same sequence under 2 other names. The record is from Rfam by way of RNAcentral. Lineage: Eukaryota; Metazoa; Chordata; Mammalia; Carnivora; Canidae.